Molecule: small nucleolar RNA, 105 nt
Organism: Capsicum annuum
Lineage: Eukaryota; Viridiplantae; Streptophyta; Magnoliopsida; Solanales; Solanaceae
Source: RefSeq, a predicted model, not a curated record
GAUGAUGAUGUGGACAGUCCUGAAAAAGAGCCUUGAAGCACUCCCAAGCAUGAUAUAAAUUCUCAUCUGGCUUCUGUUUGAAGCACACAAUCUUACUGCGAUGUC